AAGCCUCCAGGGUACCCUCAGCGACGCCACACCAGAUCCCAUCGCCGCUGCCGUCGCACUCGCAUCCCUCCGCCGCCGCCCUCGCACAUCAAGCCGCCGCAGAUCCAUCCAUUUGCCGCCGCCCUCGCACAUGAAGCCGCGGCUGAUCCCUGCGCUACCUCGAUGGGAGCCAUCGACCGUCUCGCUACAACUUGAAGCUGCAACUUGGGUGGUGCCAUGACUCCUUGUGCAGAGAAAACAAGACGAGGGGGAGGUCAAGGAGGAGCAGCAGGAGUGAGGAAAAGACGGCGGCGGAGAAGUCCCUGCUCGCGGAGAGCUCGAUCGGUGGUGACGAACUCCGAACCGCAUGUUCUGGCGACAGAGGGCUUGAACCGGUCGAUGGGAAGACCUGUAGGCGCGCGGCGGCUGCGGUUUGGGACGGCGGCGAAGCUGCAACUCGGACGAUGCCAUGGCUUCCUAUGCAGAGAAAACGGGACGAGGGGGAGGUCAGGGAGGAGCAGCAGGAGGAGUGAAGAAAAAAGGGCGGCGGAGAAGGCCCUGCUCGCCGGAGAGCUUGACUGGCGCCAACGCUCACUGCAGCGGGAGUAUGCUCGGGCGUACCGGCAUGAGAGCUGCAGUUGGUGGGAAUUGGCUGCGGGCAUAGGAACCGUGGAUUGAUCCCACGUACACACAGGUCAUCAUAUAAGUGCAUCGAUAUGUAACGUGGUACAAUCAUGUUGAUGUACUCAUGAGAGAAGUUGCAUCACAUGCGGGCAUGAAGCAGAAGUUGCAUCACAUGCUCCACAUCCUAUCAGCGGACUUCCAAAGACUACAAGGAUGCGGAUUUGUUGAUGAUGGCUACAGAUGUUUCCAAGUAAGGCGAACGUGCCGUGAGGUGAUGCAUUGCCUCCAGUCCUUCUUUUUGGUAAAUACCUUCACUUCAAGUAAUUUCCACCUUCUUUGUUUCUACAUAUGUCAUGUUGAGUAUUUUUUCUGAAACAUACACACUUAAUCAUAAAUAUGCCUUCCUGUCAAUUUUUUUCAUCAUAAAUAUGCCUUUCUUUAAACGCAUCGUAAACUAUGGCCACAGGACCGACUGGUUCAUGCAACUAUCGUUUGCUCCAUAGUGAAGUGCCAUUGUUUGCUCUCUACUAGAGCAUAUCUCUACUCCUAAUGGAGCAGUUGGUAGUCUUCGUUCUGGCUUUUUUUCGUCCCACCUCCCACCUUCGUCGGGUUUUUUUUCGUCCUCCUCCCACCUCGCACUUUACAUCCCGCUCGCACGAUCCCGUAUCACAUAACCAAAGAAAAUCGGAUGACCACGUAGCGCCCCCCCCCCCAACGAAAGAAAGAUCGGGCGAACCACGGAACAAGGGUGCCCUCGCAUGAAAAAAACCGACGGGAACCACGUCCCGGCCGCCGUCGCCAAUCCAUCCCGGCCCACCUGCCUCCUUCCCGAUCCCAACCUCAUGAACCCUACCACGCCUCCAACCCCGCUGCCACCUCCUUCGACCAACCACUCCGUUCCAUGGAUCCACUUUGCGACAGCCAGUUCUCGCGGCAGUCGCCGCCCGCUCUUCUCCUCCUGGUCCACCUCCCCCACCAAGCUCUCUCUCCUAGAUCGUGAGCUGAUAACAGAGGCACAUAGGUUUCGGCUCCUCUACUAAUGGUGAUAUCAAGGGCUGGUGGAGGACGGCCAUCAUGGACACGUUGACGAGGCUGUUUCUUCCUAGACCCAAUUCUUCGACGAGUUGCUGGAGAAAGACAAGGGCUUGAGGGGGGUUCUACGAGUCAGAGCGGGAGACGGAGCGGUUCCUGAGCCUGGUAUGCGAGGCACUAGGGCAGGCAAGCGGUUCUUGGCAUGGCAGUGCUGAUGCAGCACGCUGGCUCACUUACAUGGACUAAGGGGAGGCUCGUGCACCGCUCAUCCGCGUACGUUCUCAACUGCCUUCUCGACUAGGUGCCGCCCGGACCACGCCUUUUCCAGAAAAUGUGUUACCUGGUCCCUGUCAAAAUGUUUCUUACCAGUACAAAUGUCUAUCGCAUUGCUGAAUAUUUUGUUGCAAUCAUACAAACUGCAGGCAGAUUCUCAAUCACAUCGGUUCAUGCACUUGUAUGCUUUUGUAAUUGCAGAAAUGUUGAAUUAGUAACUACAUGGUAUUCGGCUAUAUUCUAAAUCAGCGCUUCCGACGAGAUUCUUUAUUAUUCGGCUAUAUGAGUUAGUAAAUCAUGGUUUUCUUCUUCUACAUCUGGGCUUCUAUAGCUAAAUUCCUGCAUGUUAGAUAUACAGGCUGCAACGAGAAAAGUAAUCUUCUAUGGAGAGCCACCAAAUCAAAUUUAGAGAUUGUGUUUGUACACCCUUGUUAAGAGAUAUGGCAGGACAUGCAUUGGCCCUUUCUACUUGGUACUUGAAUCAAAUGGUGGGAGUCAAUUUUAUCCAAGAGCUAUGUCUGAUAUGUGGCCUAAUUCAGCUGGACUUGUAGUAUUCUCUUCUGGUGAUCGUCUUUUGUUUGAAACCCAAUUAUCAAAGUUGCUUCUUAAAAUUCCCCUACAAAUUGGCAUCUACAGGACAACAAUGAACAAUUUAUUUAAACUCCACAUGUGGAUCAUUUACUUCAAGCUCACAUAUUACCAACCAGAUCGAUAGUAUGUACAUUAUACAAUCACAUAUCUCAAAUUACUUGGGAAUUGGAACAUGUCUUGUUUUCAAUUGAAAAUGGUUACAACAAAUUAAAAAAGGAGUUCCCUGCUGAUAAAUGUGUUGAAAUAUGUGUGGUUUCUUACCCAAAUGGAAGUUAUCAAGCCUGUUCUUUAUGCAACAAAAAAUUACUCCAUCUGUAAAGAUAUAUAAGAGCAUUUAGAUCACUACUUUAGUGAUAUAAAUGCUCUUAUAUUUGUUACAGAGGGAGUAGCAGGUAUAUUUGACUAGAUGUGCCAAACUGUUGUGAGAUCCACUUCACAAAUUAGAGGUCGAUAUGUAGUGGAAGCUUUUGCAGGUCAUUUUCAAAGUUAAGUAUAUCUUCUUCGAUGUGAUGUUUCAUUUAUUCGCAUGCAUCGUGCUAACAUUUGUUGGUUUGUUUCUAAGUAGUAGUGCUACUACGGCGAUGCAUAAAUUCAGUGCCACUUCUCAAGCUCGUAGCCCUAGAAAAAUCACAAUGACGCAGUGCAGCAAUGAUUAUCUAGCCCUCCAAGCUGGAUGCAACAAGGUUACUCGUGAUCAAAACAGUUGAUGUCAGUUAAAAAACCGGUUCUGAUGCCAAUUGGCUUGAGGAAAUCAGCCAAGAUGCUUUGAAGAAAUUGCACGCUUUCUAUCAGUUCUGCAGACCACACACAAUCUUUGGCACUGUGAGAUUUGUCAUCUUUGGUUCCAAUUGACAUAUGUAGUUUUGAUGCACACUUCUUGAUGCGCUCUUUCUUAUGUUUACUGUAUUGUUAGAUCAUAGGGAUAACUUCAGUGUCUCUCCUGUCAAUGAAGAGCCUAGAUGAUUUUACUACUACGAUACUAAGAGUUACUAUAGAUUUUUAUCUCUUAUGAGUAAUAUUAUUUGGCAAAUAGAAAUAUACCUAGCCAUUUGUGUAUGAAAAUUUUACACUGUUACGUCUUUAAAAAAAUUCAAAAAUUUUCUCUUUCUGUGCACGCUUUGGCUGCUGCUUUAUGUAUGAAGAUUUACGUGGUAGGGCUGAAUCGACUGUUCAACAUUCAGAUUGAAAAGGUUGUAUUUUAUUCCCUGUGCUUUGAAAAAAUGCACCUUCUUAGUCCUUUAUACUUUACAAUCAUUUAGUAUAAAUUAUACUCUAUUUUGCAGAUCAACAAGCCAGGUUUUCCAUUGGUAGCUGGGUGAUUUUCAGUAGCAACUGGUGUAUUCUUAGUGGUCACAUUCCUGGUCAUGGUUUAUUAGGUUCAAAUAAUGGUGUUAUGGUGUGGAAAAUAUGGCUGAAGUCUAAAUACUUAAGUUUUGUUGUUUUCAGAACUUUAGCAUUGGAAUCUGUUUCGGAGCGGUGCCACUGACGUGUGCUUUAAUUAUCAGCUUCCUUCUUGGAAGUGUUGCAUUGAGGCUCCGAUGCUCCGGUGGGAACAACACACGCUCCUCGCUGCAUCUUAUCUCCUAUUUGUGAGGGCUAUCGUGGUCCAAUUAGCUUUCUUUGCACAUAUGCAGGCACUCAGCACAGUACACAUCUUCAGUAGCACUAGAAAUUCAUACUUAUUUAAUUGGCUUCCUUCUUCAGUGUUUGAUGAUUCAUUUUGAAGUGACCUGUUCUGAGAAGGCCCUUGGCAGCAACAAAAUGACUGGUGUUUGCAACAUUGUCCAUGUGUUAGUUCUCUGCUGUCAUAGCUCUAUUUAAGGUGUAUCAGCUUUGCAGUGGAUCAUGUUUUUCGUCGUGGGUCGAACUGAGGCCAAGACUGAUGAGUUGAAGGCGAGAACAAACUACUACUCUACCCAACAACUCAUACAGUUUCUGUUUUUUUGCCUAUUUUAGAGUUUUGCAGAAAAGGAAUACCAAACGGAGUCCAAACGGAAUGAAACCUUCACGACGCUCUUUCUUGGACUGGAGGCAAACCAGAAGACUUGGAGAUGAAGUUGUAGACGCAGCGAGGUAGCCCGUCAUCUCCACUUCGACAUCAUCUCCACUUCGUAGCCCAUCGGUCUUCAUUCAUUGAAGCCAGGGCAUUGACUGACUUUCAGCGAUCGCUAUAAGAAAGACAUAAAAAAAGUUCUCCUAAAUCUGUUCCUUUCCGUUACUACUACUUGGAAUUGGAAGUCUAGGAGCAGGACUAACCUUUUUCUUUCGUUUAAAUAAAGUCGAGAUGUAGCUUUCUCUAUCUCAAUAAAUUAUUCCACCUCCAUUCAUUGGAGAACAAAGUGUUAUCUGAUUAGAUCCUUGCUUCAAACUCAACCGAAUCAAGUUUCAAAAAUAGAUGUGGAAGAGGCAAAGGGAAGAGCGGGGUUGCCGAAUUGUUUCUCAGAGCCGGACGAAACAUCUAUCUCUAUUUACAAUGCCCCCAAGAAAACUUUGUCGAAAAAGGUUGUCAUCGUAAUAGGGAUUGCACCUCAACAUGGCAGCCCUUCAAUUCUGCCAAUUGUGUGUGACUUGUACUUUUCUAGGCUUCCUCUUUGCCUCAAGUGAUUAAACUCAUCAACUACACCAACC
Molecule: long non-coding RNA, 5127 nt
Organism: Triticum aestivum (bread wheat)
Lineage: Eukaryota; Viridiplantae; Streptophyta; Magnoliopsida; Poales; Poaceae
Exons: 7
Source: RefSeq, a predicted model, not a curated record